CUCAUCUCUAAACAGCCCUCGGCACAAAGGGUAGCGGGAGUGUGAACCACUCGUUGCUGAAGCCGGCGCCUCGGCUUCAUUCAAGACGCGGCACUUUGAAAAACACCGCGCAUUUAAAGAGUCUUCAGCACUGUUUUCCCACCGCUGUGCAGUUCCUGUGGCGGCGAAGCUGGGAGGAGCUCAAGUUACACUGUAUCCUGCAAUGUCACCGCCACCACGGUUUCCAGCUUUCAGGAAGAGCAGGCAGCCGCUGGCCCCGUGGAGACGCUGUAAAGAGAACGGACUCCUGCUCCUGCUGGCGGGGGUCAUGUGACGGAGUCCAAGAAUGGGGCUGUCUGCCUUUUUUAACUGCUGGAGAAGAGACUGAUAAUGCUUGUGCGAACUACAGGGCAGGUUCCCAGAACCAACACACGCCGAACAGUCUAGCAGUUCCUGAACCAGCCACUAAGUGCCGCUGUUUUCCAGUGAAUACCUGUGCUUUCUGUGUGAUGUCUGUUUGACCUGCUCUGACCGUUACAUUUUCUGCUCCAGCAACACCUCGGUCAGUCAGCGUCCGAGAACCGAGACUACCUACCACAGCCGAGGAGUGGCCUA
This 594-nucleotide long non-coding RNA is filed under the name Lepisosteus oculatus (spotted gar). RNAcentral describes it as "lncRNA (ENSLOCG00000022000.1)". Lineage: Eukaryota; Metazoa; Chordata; Actinopteri; Semionotiformes; Lepisosteidae. The record is from RNAcentral.